GGAAUCAAAUGUUCCAGAUAUAAGACCUCUUAGGAUAAGUACAGGGAAUAAGAACUGGUAUGGAAAAGUACUUUUUUUUUCAGCAAUUUAUGAUUUAAAACUGGAUUAGCUGGACAAGGGAAAGGAGAAAAGUCAAAGGGGGAUGUUUAUCUCAAGACAUUUAGAUGUAGUUUAUGAAAAACAAAAUGUCUAGCUCUAAAACAUCAGUAGCAUCUUCACAGAGCAAGCAAUUUUGCCCCUAUUAAUAUAAUAAAUUCUAAUAAUUGUACCCACCCCCCUAACUCCCAGUAAGUAAAAUAGAAUCCAAAAAAGGGAAGAAAUUGGGACACAUGGAUCUGAUACAAAUCUACACAGGGGAAAAGGUUGAGAAACAAGCCAGGACAAAAAAGAAUCUGAAAUGAAAAUCUCUAUAUCAAAAUAUUUCUUACUAUAUAGUUUGCAUUGUAAACUUUAGCUUUUAAUACAAUUUUAUAGACAUUUUCUUCCCCAGAUUCCUAAUGCUCUAUGAGUAAGUGUCGUGGAUAAUUUCCCGCUGUUGUUCAGGCUGAAGCCCAUUU
This 557-nucleotide long non-coding RNA is filed under the name Bos taurus (domestic cattle). RNAcentral describes it as "long non-coding RNA NONBTAT000509". Lineage: Eukaryota; Metazoa; Chordata; Mammalia; Artiodactyla; Bovidae. The record is from RNAcentral.